Molecule: unclassified non-coding RNA, 351 nt
Filed under: Hevea brasiliensis (rubber tree)
Lineage: Eukaryota; Viridiplantae; Streptophyta; Magnoliopsida; Malpighiales; Euphorbiaceae
Source: RNAcentral
UUUUUUUUUUUUUUUUUUUUUUUUGCCCAUAAAUACCUUGAAGCAAUGUAGACUUUGCUGUGGCAAUGAUAGUUUCAUAAUUGCCACUUGCUACAACACAACAUUAAAGAACUCAAUCUGUACUUUGGUUCACAUGCCUAAGUAAAAUACAACAGAUGACAAGAGUACACUCCACAUUGCAAUGAGCUGCCUUACUGAAGAUUACUGCAUCUCAAGUGAAAAGGUACUUCUAAAUAAACAGAACAAACAUGAAACAUCCAUGCCGGUCAAGGAAAUUGAAAAACUUUCUAACAAAAAUCAGCCAAGCCAAAAAGAAAGUGCCCAGAGAAGAUUUCAUUACCAUAAAUACAA